UGGCCCAGAUCGUUUACCGUGAAAAAAUUAGAGUGUUCAAAGCAGGCAGACCAUUUCUUCUGCCACCGAAUACAUUAGCAUGGGAUAAUGGAAUAGGACCCUGUCCUCCUAUUUUGCGUGUUGGCGAGGACCGGGUAAUGAUUAAUAGGGAUAGUUGGGGGCAUUAAUAUUUAAUUGUCAGAGGUGAAAUUCUUGGAUUUAUGAAAGAUUGACUUCUGCGAAAGCAUCUGCCAAGGAUGUUUUCAUUAAUCAAGAACGAAAGUUAGGGGAUCGAAGACGAUCAGAUACCGUCGUAGUCUUAACCAUAAACGAUGCCGACCAGCGAUUAGGAGACGUUGAAUACAAAACACCACCGUCGGGUCGGCCGUCCUUGGCCGUCGUGCGCGGCGACGCGCGCGGCGGCGAGGGCGGUGUCUGCCCGACGGCCCGGUGAAUG
RNAcentral lists this ribosomal RNA (436 nucleotides) under Acanthamoeba genotype T15. RNAcentral describes it as "SSU rRNA". It matches the Rfam family "Eukaryotic small subunit ribosomal RNA", at positions 739 to 1098 of the family's 1831-position model. Lineage: Eukaryota; Discosea; Longamoebia; Acanthamoebidae. The record is from RNAcentral.